Ochotona princeps (American pika) is the source of this 74-nucleotide microRNA precursor. The record is from Ensembl. Lineage: Eukaryota; Metazoa; Chordata; Mammalia; Lagomorpha; Ochotonidae.
GGGUCGGUGGUCCCUGGGCAGGGGUCUCUGAUCCCGGACGAGCCCCCAAAUGAAAGACCCCCGAAAUGGGUGUC